Prionailurus viverrinus (fishing cat) is the source of this 825-nucleotide long non-coding RNA. RefSeq lists it as uncharacterized. Lineage: Eukaryota; Metazoa; Chordata; Mammalia; Carnivora; Felidae. The transcript has 5 exons. The record is from RefSeq and is a predicted model, not a curated record.
UAUGCUUAUCUACUCAAUAUCACAAAGCAGCAUCGCAUCCUUGUCCAAAGGAGCCUAAAGGGGUCCCAAAGCUUUCAAAGACAUCCACAGGCAGGAAGAAAGAAAAAGACAGUUCUUAUCAGAUGUCUUUUGCUCUCUCUCUUUUUAAAUCACAGAUUGAAAUAUUUUCUAGAAGCUCCUGACUUGCCCUCAGAUGUCACUGGACAGAAAAGGAUCUUAUAUAUACAUCUGAGUCCACACUGACAUUAUUUCCAUUGUGACUUGAUCAGAGAAGCUGUGAAGUUAAGCAGUCAUCUAGGAACAAAAGGAUCCAAAGUUUGCUACACACUUAAGAACAGGUGAUUCUCAUUGGCUGAACUCAACAGCAAACCAAGGGGCAUGCAAGUUUAUUGAUACAAUCAAUAAAGUUCAGGUGAAGGGCACAGCAUCCUGAGUGAACCUUCUGCCAUAAGGUGAAGAAACCCUGCUUGAUGACCCUACUGAAGCUGACUCUGGUUGACCUGCAUUCAAGCUGCGACACCAGAGUUCUCUCUCAUUCACCAAGGCAGACCCAAGUUCUGCGUCUUUCCACAUGGCUUGAACAUGCACUGCAAUCAGCAUGUUAAUUUGGGAUGGCUGAGAGCGCAUCUCCCUAUCUACUUGUUUCUCUUAACAUGGACAUUUUUAAUCAGGCACCUAAUUUGGUCCUGGGGGAUCUCACUCUGCUUUAAUAAUACAUGUGACAAAAUUUACCUCUUUGCUUUCAAAGUUGUUAAUUAUGGAGUGCAUUUCAAAUGAGCUAUUGCAGCCAAGAGAUCAUCUCUUUUGGAUGCUUACAUACUUUAA